Non-coding RNA from Coprinopsis cinerea okayama7#130, 74 nucleotides. The record is from the annotation of a RefSeq genome assembly. NCBI's taxonomy places the organism in Eukaryota, Fungi, Basidiomycota, Agaricomycetes, Agaricales, Psathyrellaceae.
GGCUACCUGGCCCAAUGGUAGCGCGUAUCGUCGAUGGCUACCAAAAGGUUGCAGGUUCGAUCCGGCGGUGUUCG